AGAGUUUGAUCCUGGCUCAGGAUAAACGCUGGCGGCGUGCUUUAUGCAUGCAAGUCGAACGGUCCUUUCUGCAAGGGAAGGAUAGUGGCAAACGGGUGAGUAACACGUAAGUAACCUGCCCCCAAGUAGGGGACAACUCUGAGAAAUCGGAGCUAAUACCGUAUGUGGUGCUGGAGGUAAUGCUCCAUUACUAAAGCCUUCGGGUGCUUGGGGAGGGGCUUGCGUCCGAUUAGCUAGUUGGUAGAGUAAUGGUUUACCAAGGCGGUGAUCGGUAGCUGGUCUGAGAGGAUGUUCAGCCACACUGGGACUGAGACACGGCCCAGACUCCUACGGGAGGCAGCAGCAAGGAAUUUUGUGCAAUGGGCGAAAGCCUGACACAGCGACGCCGCGUGGGGGAUGAAGGCCUUCGGGUUGUAAACCCCUUUUCCUAGGGACGAAUAAUGACGGUACCUGGGGAAUAAGCUUCGGCCAACUACGUGCCAGCAGCCGCGGUAAUACGGAGGUGGCGAGCGUUACUCGGAUUUAUUGGGUGUAAAGGGCAGGUAGGCGUUUCGCCAAGUUAGAAGUGAAAUCCUUUGGCUCAACCAAAGAACUGCUUCUAAAACUGGCGGAAUUGAGGCUGAAAGAGGAGAGCGGAAUUCCCGGUGUAAGGGUGAAAUCUGUAGAUAUCGGGAGGAGCACCAGUGGCGAAGGCGGCUCUCUGGUUCAGCCCUGACGCUGAGCUGCGAAAGCUAGAGUAGCAAACAGGAUUAGAUACCCUGGUAGUCC
This 768-nucleotide ribosomal RNA is filed under the name uncultured bacterium. RNAcentral describes it as "bacterial SSU rRNA". It matches the Rfam family "Bacterial small subunit ribosomal RNA", at positions 8 to 796 of the family's 1533-position model. The record is from RNAcentral.